GAACCUGCGGAGGGAUCAUUACCGAGUUAUUCAACUCAUCAACCCUGUGAACAUACCUAAACGUUGCUUCGGCGGGAACAGACGGCCCCGUGAAACGGGCCGCCCCCGCCAGAGGACCCCUAACUCUGUUUCUAUAAUGUUUCUUCUGAGUAAAACAAGCAAAUAAAUUAAAACUUUCAACAACGGAUCUCUUGGCUCUGGCAUCGAUGAAGAACGCAGCGAAAUGCGAUAAGUAAUGUGAAUUGCAGAAUUCAGUGAAUCAUCGAAUCUUUGAACGCACAUUGCGCCCGCCAGUAUUCUGGCGGGCAUGCCUGUUCGAGCGUCAUUACAACCCUCAGGCCCCCGGGCCUGGCGUUGGGGAUCGGCGGAGCCCCCCGUGGGCACACGCCGUCCCCCAAAUACAGUGGCGGUCCCGCCGCAGCUUCCAUCGCGUAGUAGCUAACACCUCGCGACUGGAGAGCGGCGCGGCCACGCCGUAAAACACCCAACUCUUCUGAAGUUGACCUCGAAUCAGGUAGGAAUACCCGCUGAACUUAAGCAUAUCAAUAAGCGGAGGAA
RNAcentral lists this ribosomal RNA (558 nucleotides) under fungal sp. ZF0123. RNAcentral's name for it is "eukaryotic LSU rRNA". The stretch from base 172 to 325 matches the Rfam family "5.8S ribosomal RNA". Lineage: Eukaryota; Fungi. The record is from RNAcentral.